CUCUUGGCCUUUUUCAAGGCCUCAAACAUAAUAAUUCAUUUAUUCU
Non-coding RNA from Equus caballus (horse), 46 nucleotides. NCBI's taxonomy places the organism in Eukaryota, Metazoa, Chordata, Mammalia, Perissodactyla, Equidae. The record is from Rfam.